Molecule: long non-coding RNA, 906 nt
Organism: Macaca fascicularis (crab-eating macaque)
Lineage: Eukaryota; Metazoa; Chordata; Mammalia; Primates; Cercopithecidae
Source: Ensembl
AGAUACAUUAAGUUCAGAUUUUUCUGUAACUAAAUGUUAAUUAUCUUUUUACUAUAACUGGAAUAAUUUCCAGAGAAAUCUCUGUAUUCUGUUGCCAAGGGCAACACUAAUGUCAAAUUCUUGACUUUGGUAACCACAGUAGAACUUUUAUAAGAUGGGUUAUAAAAACCAAAAUUAUCUAUUGAUGAUUGGAUAAGAGACCUGAUUCAACUUUAUGGUCUUAUAGCAAUUUCUGCAUUUUAUAAAUUCAAAAAGAACUGCCCAGCUGGGAUGCAGUAAUUUCAUUUUCUCUAAAAUAUCAAUGUAAUCACAUAAAAGGGAAAAUGUCCCCAGGAGAAGUUCUCUUGCUAUUAGCAGUAACAUAUAUAAAACUCUUCUCAGAAAAGGGCUGUUAAUCAUGUCAUUGGAAAGGGCCCCAAGAAGUCAUUUAUGCCAUCUUGGGUAGAUAAAUGAGUAUUCUAACCUUAAAAAUAUAUCCAAGGAAGAAGUUUCAAACUCUUCUUCUGUUGGCUUAAUUAUUAUAGGCACUGCCUUGGAGCGAUGUUAAAAAACACUGAUGAUGCAAUUCUUUCAACAGGUAUUUAUUGAGCAUCUACUGUGUUUAUAACAUAGUAAGAGAAUGAGACAUGGUCUUUCACGGCAAAGAGAUUAUAAGGGAGUUGAAGAGAUAAAACAGGAAGAAGGAAGAAUUUGCCACAAAGGACUGAAAAUGACACUGUACCUCAUCUCCUAGAAGAAGGCAGUUAAUCAGCAACACAGCAUCUUGUGAUGGAUCACAUCUCUGUUUUACUGAAGAAAAUACAUUGCAGUGCUUUUGGUGCUAUGCAGGCCUCAGUUUGGGGGCUAGCUCUACCACAAACCGAGCUUUUUGAACUUUUUGACCCUGGGUAAGUUAUUUUAUCUUUC